This 767-nucleotide long non-coding RNA is filed under the name Numida meleagris (helmeted guineafowl). RNAcentral describes it as "lncRNA (ENSNMEG00000001942.1)". Lineage: Eukaryota; Metazoa; Chordata; Aves; Galliformes; Numididae. The record is from RNAcentral.
CCCCAAAAAGUGUCCCCAAAUGUCAUAGGGGUCCCCAAGAUGUGUCCCCAAGUGCCACAGGGGUCCCCUGGGAAUGUCCCCAAAUGCCACAGGGGUCCCCACAGCCCCCCAGAGUGUCCCCAAGUGCCUCAGGGGUCCCCAAAAAGUGUCCCCAAAUGUCAUAGGGGUCCCCAAGGAAUGUCCCCAAAUGUCAUAGGGGUCCCCCAAAAGUGUCCCCAAAUGUCACAGGGGUCCCCAGGGAAUGUCCCCAAAAGCCACAGGGAUCCCCACAGCCCUCAGAGUGUCCCCAAAUGCCACAGGGGUCCCCAAAGUGUCCCCAGAUGUCAUAGGGUGUCCCCAAGGAAUGUCCCCAACUUCCACAGGGGUCCCCACAGCCCCCCAGAGUGUCCCCAAAUGCCACAGGGGUCCCCAGAAAGUGUCCCCAAAUGUCAUAGGGGUCCCCAAGAUGUGUCCCCAAAUGCCACAGGGGUCCCCAAGGAAUGUCCCCAAAAGCCACAGGGGUCCCCAGAGCCCCCCAGAGUGUCCCCCAGUGCCACAGGGGUCCCCAAAAAGUGUCCCCAAAUGUCACAGGGGUCCCCAAGGAAUGUCCCCAACAUCCACAGGGGUCCCCACAGCCCCCCAGAGUGUCCCCAAAUGUCACAGGGAUCCCCAAAGAGUGUCCCCAAAUGCCACAGGGUCCCCAUAAAGUGUCCCCAAAUGUCACAGGGGUCCCCAAGGAAUGUCCCCAACAUCCACAGGGGUCCCCACAGCCCCCCAGAGUGUCCCCA